This 161-nucleotide non-coding RNA is filed under the name Sphaerobacter thermophilus. Its description in RNAcentral is "GlcN6P sequence". It matches the Rfam family "glmS glucosamine-6-phosphate activated ribozyme aptamer". Rfam says of the family: This entry contains a glucosamine-6-phosphate activated ribozyme that is found in the mRNA for GlmS. Lineage: Bacteria; Pseudomonadati; Thermomicrobiota; Thermomicrobia; Sphaerobacterales; Sphaerobacteraceae. RNAcentral also lists the same sequence under 1 other name. The record is from RNAcentral.
CGUCGUUGAGUAGCGCCCGGACUCGCCGGAGGAGGCGGCGAGUCGACGAGGUGGAGGCUUCUCGAAAUAUUCGGCGGAUGGCCUCCCGGCUGGCACGGUCGUGAGGGUCAGGGCAAAACCGCUGAGUGAUCGGCGGCACAAAGACUGGCCCGGUGCGCGUA